UGGGUGGGUGAACAGAGCUGGAUGGGU
Molecule: non-coding RNA, 27 nt
Filed under: Homo sapiens (human)
Lineage: Eukaryota; Metazoa; Chordata; Mammalia; Primates; Hominidae
Source: RNAcentral